Molecule: ribosomal RNA, 253 nt
Filed under: uncultured bacterium
Lineage: Bacteria
Description: partial 16S ribosomal RNA
Rfam family: Archaeal small subunit ribosomal RNA
Source: RNAcentral
UACCCGCAGCACAAGUGGUGGUCAUUAUUAUUGGGCCUAAAGCGUCCGUAGCUGGCGUGUUAGAUGCCUGGGUAAAUCGAUGCGCUCAACGUAUCGAAUUCCGGGUAGACCGGCACGCUCGAGACCGGGAGAGGUGUAGGGUACUCGGGGGGUAGGGGUAAAAUCCUGUAAUCCUCCGGGGACGACCAGUGGCGAAGGCGCUACACUAGAACGGCUCUGACAGUGAGGGACGAAGCCCUGGGGCGCAAACCGG